CUCAUUUUGUGUAAAUAACACACAUGUAUCGACACCUACGCCGGGGUGCCUGGAUGAUUUGUAAAAAUCGAUGGGUCGGUUGUACGGGAUACAUGGAGGCUUAAC
RNAcentral lists this small RNA (105 nucleotides) under Erwinia sp. Leaf53. Its description in RNAcentral is "t44 RNA". It matches the Rfam family "t44 RNA". From Rfam's summary of the family: This family consists of a number of bacterial RNA genes of between 135 and 170 bases in length. The t44 gene is found between the map and rpsB genes in all species in the full alignment apart from Shigella flexneri. Lineage: Bacteria; Pseudomonadati; Pseudomonadota; Gammaproteobacteria; Enterobacterales; Erwiniaceae. The record is from Rfam by way of RNAcentral.